CGAUGCGCGCAUUGGUGAUGGAUUGCGACAGUGUGCUAUCUGUCUGCUGAGCGGGGGUAGGUGCAAGCUGCAAGGGUGCUCAAUCACGAUCCCAGCCCUAGACUAUACUGGACUGGACUCGACUCGAUGGAAAACAAACAAACAGAGAGAGAGAGUGGAAGAGUGGGAGAAAGGAGGGCCCCAUGUGAGCUCAUUCCCUGCACUGCACGGCGUUGUUGCAGAUGAAAACGAAGAUGAAGAUGUGCAGUGAGGUGAGGCCGAGUUGUGUUUUAUAAAAUAAAGAAAAUAUAAUAUAAUAUAAACAAACAAAUAAAG
This 315-nucleotide long non-coding RNA is filed under the name Physcomitrium patens. Its description in RNAcentral is "long non-coding RNA (PPAT_LNC014040)". The record is from RNAcentral. Lineage: Eukaryota; Viridiplantae; Streptophyta; Bryopsida; Funariales; Funariaceae.